GACGAACGCUGGCGGCGUGCUUAACACAUGCAAGUCGAACGGAAAGGCCCUGCUUGCAGGGUACUCGAGUGGCGAACGGGUGAGUAACACGUGGGUGAUCUGCCAUGCACUUCGGGAUAAGCCUGGGAAACUGGGUCUAAUACCGGAUAGGAGCCAUUUUUAGUGUGAUGGUUGGAAAGUUUUUUCGGUGUAGGAUGAGCUCGCGGCCUAUCAGCUUGUUGGUGGGGUAAUGGCCUACCAAGGCGGCGACGGGUAGCCGGCCUGAGAGGGUGGACGGCCACAUUGGGACUGAGAUACGGCCCAGACUCCUACGGGAGGCAGCAGUGGGGAAUAUUGCACAAUGGGCGCAAGCCUGAUGCAGCGACGCCGCGUGGGGGAUGACGGCCUUCGGGUUGUAAACUCCUUUCGCUAGGGACGAAGCUUUUUGUGACGGUACCUAGAGAAGAAGCACCGGCUAACUACGUG
RNAcentral lists this ribosomal RNA (465 nucleotides) under uncultured bacterium. RNAcentral describes it as "partial 16S ribosomal RNA". It matches the Rfam family "Bacterial small subunit ribosomal RNA", at positions 28 to 507 of the family's 1533-position model. The record is from RNAcentral.